Molecule: long non-coding RNA, 1713 nt
Organism: Herpailurus yagouaroundi (jaguarundi)
Lineage: Eukaryota; Metazoa; Chordata; Mammalia; Carnivora; Felidae
Exons: 2
Source: RefSeq, a predicted model, not a curated record
GAGGACACAGCACAUGGCUGGGGCCGGCAAAGUUGGGGCGUCCUCCCGAGCCAUGGGAUGGCACUGUGAUGUUGGGGGGGGGCAGCCCAGGCUGGUCAGUUUGUCCCAAGUCGCCCCCACAAUGCUGUUUAAGACCAUCAUCCUAGACUUCUGCUUGUACACAGAGUCGGGCCUCCAUGCUGUGUUCUCUUCCCAGGGAUCCCCAGUGUACUGCGCAGCUGAGAGGAGCCAGCGAGACCCUCUGGAACAGUCCUUCACAGCAUCAGAGACACCCCCUUUGCGUCGCCACCCCUCCCCAAGAACAGCAAGCCCGUUUCUGCCCUCACGCUGUGUGCAGUAACCAGUCCUUAAUCAAGAUUAUUCACGUCUGGAAACAGAAAGACCUACAGUCACUGUCUUUUCCGGGUGGGUGGGGGGUGGAAGAGGAGAUCGUGACUGGAGAUUUUUGUUCUCUUUAUCCUGGGCCCAUAUUUUUCAAGUUCUCUCCAAUCAGUCUGUAUGUCUUUUAUAACCCUCAAAGAAAGAAAGAAAGAAAGAAAGAAAGAAAGAAAGAAAGAAAAAGAAAGAGGAAAAAGAAAAAGAAAUGAUCCAAAUCACUCACUUUGGCUAUCUGAAAUACAGCCCCAUGUCGUUAAGAAAAAUGCUCGGGGUCAAAUGUAGGUCUUCAUCAGGAAAAAAAACCAGCAUUUAGCACAGCAAGCACCGACCGGCUGCCUUUAUGCUGACGGACACAGAAGACAGUAUCACAUCCCAGAUCCUAAGAGUUUCUGCCUCAUUUUUCAGGGGCAAGUGUAUGCCCUAGCAAGAGUCCUGCCUCUGCGGCUUUCAUUAGACUAAAGAAUUAUCCAGAAAACAAUCUUUUCUUCCUUAAAGACAAAUUUGUGAGCUGUCUUCCAAUGCCGUACAUUGCUGAGGACAGUGAGAUUGCCUUGUGCCCUUUUCUUUCCCAAAGUUAUUUAUAGCCUAUGCUUUUCCGAAACAAUUUUCACGCAGAUUAAUUUUUAGCCCGUGCGGGUAUCACUAUGGGAAAUUUGGGAGACGGAGAGAACAUUUUUUAAAUCACUUACUACCUCUCUCGACCACGCUAACGGAAAUGAUUCUCACUUUGAGGAUUACCUCCUGGUUUCUCAGAGGCUAUUUUGACAGACCACACAUCCUGCUUUGCUACGUAACCAUCCCCUUUGCCUCUGUAACAAGCACAUAUCCUGCGGUCUCUGUGCUUGCUUGUAGCCAUUGUCAUUGUGUGCAACCCUGCAGACUGUCCAGAGUAAACCUAUCAAAACUCACUGAACACAUUCCAUUCUUGAUCGUCUCGACUGCUUUCAAUUUUUUCACCAUUACGGGUCUUACAGUGCUGGAGAGCAGGGCUCGCUGUGGGGGGCUAUUUUUGCAAGAGUUUUACGGAGGGAGGAUUUGGAACCGCAUCUUGUGAAGGUCCCUGAGCUAUCUGAGCGCUGCAACAAUUCGCUUCUGAAGACAUCUAAGGCAGCGUGCAAAAGCCAUGCAAUCUGUUCAUUACAUUAAAAUAAAGACCGGCAGCCUGCAGGGUGGAGGGGACCUAGCCACCCCCCGUUAGGUGCCUUCCCUGUAUCUCUUCCACCAACACAGGUGACCCCACCAACCUCAAGGAGGGCGAUUCUGCUCAAGCUCCGCAAUGAUGUUUUCCUGGCUCCAUGCAAUGGAAUCAAAUAAAAGAUUCCCCCUCCCCCAUUA